GGGCUUUCGGAGUACUGACAGGUUGUAGCUGGCCUCUCGGGGCAUGUGCACACCUGGCUCAUCCACUCUUCAACCUCUGUGCACUUAUUGUAGGUCGGCAGAAGGGCGAGUCUAACAGCUCGCUCGGAAGCCUUCCUAUGUUUUAUUACAAACGCUUCAGUUUAAGAAUGUAAACCUGCGUAUAACGCAUCUAUAUACAACUUUCAGCAACGGAUCUCUUGGCUCUCGCAUCGAUGAAGAACGCAGCGAAAUGCGAUAAGUAAUGUGAAUUGCAGAAUUCAGUGAAUCAUCGAAUCUUUGAACGCACCUUGCGCUCCCUGGUAUUCCGGGGAGCAUGCCUGUUUGAGUGUCAUGGUAUUCUCAUCCUUCAUAACUUUUGUUAUCGAAGGCAUGGACUUGGAGGUCGUGCUGGUUCCUCGUUGAAUCGGCUCCUCUUAAAUGCAUUAGCGUGAGUGUAACGGAUCGCUUCGGUGUGAUAAUUAUCUGCGCCGUGGUCGUGAAGUAACAUAAGCUUGCGCUUCUACCGUCCUUAAGUUGGACAACUUACUUUGACAUCUGACCUCAAUCAGGCAGGACUACCCGCUGAACUAAGCAACUA
Molecule: ribosomal RNA, 598 nt
Filed under: Phanerochaete sp. ISTL01
Lineage: Eukaryota; Fungi; Basidiomycota; Agaricomycetes; Polyporales; Phanerochaetaceae
Description: eukaryotic LSU rRNA
Rfam family: 5.8S ribosomal RNA (bases 199-352)
Source: RNAcentral